Molecule: long non-coding RNA, 1249 nt
Organism: Aegilops tauschii subsp. strangulata
Lineage: Eukaryota; Viridiplantae; Streptophyta; Magnoliopsida; Poales; Poaceae
Source: RefSeq, a predicted model, not a curated record
CCUCUUGAUUCCAAUCUACGGCGGCAUCGCCCACCGCACGCCACCCAUUCACGCACCCCGCGCGGUGGCUGCCUCAGCUAGAAGCGGUGCCCUCCGCCGCUAGCUCCGCCGGCCGCUGACUUCUGUUCUCCUCCAUCGGCAAUCUCAAUAGUUGGAGCCCCGUCGGCGUCCAUCGUCCUCACACCUCACCGUCGCCAACGACAAUGUGCUCCUCCCCACGUCGUUAUCACCGUCACCAAGACGUAUCCAGGCCAAUUACAUCCUUCACCCGAAGCUCCGCGGCGCGUUCCGUCGCUACACCUCCCCGCAUCUUGCCUCCAUCCAGCAUCGUCAGCCAUCGGCACGUCAGCAGGGUACCGAGACGGCUUCGAAACCUGAACAUCCCAGUGCAGGCUGUUGAUAGUGUACAAGCAGAUGAAGAAAAUUUACAGGCCCUCCAGAAAAUUAAUGAUUUCUUACGAAGAAAGUGAUGGAGAAACUGGAAGAAAGAAAACAAAAGAUAACAAUGGGAGCCUUUCAUGGGAAGAUAAUAGAGAAGUAUUUAAAAGUGUGCAUGGGGAAGAAGUGAAAAACUUCGAGGGUAUUAUGGUGAUAAGUAUUGGAGCGAAAUAAAGUCUCUCAGGGACUGACUUUUGUUCGGCAUUCUUAUAAAGGAGAAAAUGUUCAGUUUGCACUGCGGGCACUAGGUGAUAAUGUAGAAAACAUGACAGAUGAGAUGGUUAUGAUGAGUUCGUUCCUGAAGCAAAAAUUCCCUGGAGAGGAUUGGAGAAAUGACUUUGUAACUGAGGGAAGUGAUGAAGUUGGUAUCUUAGCCACAUCUCUUUCUACAAAGAUAAAAGUAUGAGUAUUAAUAUAUUAUUAUCAUAUUCUUGUUUUAGGUUGAUCUGAAUGGAAGAGUAGUUGGCAGUGACCUCCCACAUGAAUCAGACAACAAAGUUGAAGAAUCACCUGGGAGUUCAACAUUUCUUCUUACACUGGAUUGAAAGCUUAUGUUCUGAAAGUUUCUAUGUUAUCUUUCUUUUUUCAGGGUAGCUAAAGAUUUAGAAAAGGUGUGCACCCCAAGAGCCAGGAGGAACUACAGACAGAAGAUCUAGUCUUUAAGUGAACAAAUAUUAUAGAUUAUGUAUAGAUUUUAGCUUCAUAGGAAAACUUAGUUCUAGUUUUCAGUAUAGUUUCUUAAUUAUUUGCAUCUUUCAUAUGAAUGUAUGAUUUGAUUCAGUUGUGAACUCAAGAUGUUUGUUCCUACUAA